Dermacentor silvarum is the source of this 435-nucleotide long non-coding RNA. RefSeq lists it as uncharacterized. Lineage: Eukaryota; Metazoa; Arthropoda; Arachnida; Ixodida; Ixodidae. The transcript has 3 exons. The record is from RefSeq and is a predicted model, not a curated record.
ACGCUGAAAAUAAGACAAUAUGGACAGUCAAUACGACGGUGACGAAAACUAGCAUCACAUGCAAAUGCGAUCUAGUAAAUCAAACAACCCAAACGAAAACAUUUUUUGAGAGACGCUAUUACUGGAAUGGAACAAGGGUCAGCAACAACCUCGAAGGACAGUUCAUGAAGAUUGGACUCUUUAAUACGAAGUCAACCUUUGAUGGAAUGAUGGUCGGCCCCAAAGCUCCAUGGUAUGAACUGCGUGUCAUGAAUGGUACAGUGGACAACAUUCCGGAGAAAUGCCUAAACUUGACCAACAAGGUGCCUCGAAAAGGGUUGACAUGGAAAAGCUUGUAUAAUUCCCCCUGUCAAAACAUCAUCAAAAACAACUAACGCAAAAGAGUGGUCUUGUAACUUCACAAAUAAACUGAAUGAGAGCACACUCUGCAAAUAA